This 373-nucleotide ribosomal RNA is filed under the name uncultured bacterium. RNAcentral's name for it is "bacterial SSU rRNA". It matches the Rfam family "Bacterial small subunit ribosomal RNA", at positions 28 to 367 of the family's 1533-position model. The record is from RNAcentral.
AGUGAACGCUGGCGGCGUGGCUUAGGCAUGCAAGUCGAACGCGAAAGCCGCAAGGCAAGUAGAGUGGCGAAAGGGUGAGUAAUGCAUAGACAAUCUACCUCUUGGACCGGAAUAACCGCUGGAAACGGCGGCUAAUGCCGGAUGGUCCGGCGCGUGGGAUUCCUCGCGCCGGUAAAUAGGUCGGUUUCGGUCCCGUCCUGCCAAGAGAGGGGUCGUAUGUCCUAUCAGCUUGUGGUCGGGGGUAACGGGACCCGACCCAACGGACGGACCGACGGGUAGGCCGGACCGUGAGGAGGUUGGGUUCGGGCCGACACUGGGACGUGAGGACACUGCCCACGACUCCUACCGGGAGGGCUGCAGUCGAGAAUCUUCC